AGUGAACGCUGGCGGUAGGCCUAACACAUGCAAGUCGAACGGCAGCACAGUAAGAGCUUGCUCUUACGGGUGGCGAGUGGCGGACGGGUGAGGAAUACAUCGGAAUCUACUUUUUCGUGGGGGAUAACGUAGGGAAACUUACGCUAAUACCGCAUACGACCUACGGGUGAAAGCAGGGGAUCUUCGGACCUUGCGCGAUUGAAUGAGCCGAUGUCGGAUUAGCUAGUUGGCGGGGUAAAGGCCCACCAAGGCGACGAUCCGUAGCUGGUCUGAGAGGAUGAUCAGCCAAACUGGAACUGGGCCACGGUCCAGACUCCUACGGGAGGCAGCAGUGGGGAAUAUUGGACAAUGGGCGCAGCCUGAUCCAGCCAUACCGCGUGGGUGAAGAAGGCCUUCGGGUUGUAAAGCCCUUUUGUUGGGAAAGAAAAGCAGCAGGUUAAUACCCCGCUGUUCUGACGGUACCCAAAGAAUAAGCACCGGCUAACUUCGUG
RNAcentral lists this ribosomal RNA (491 nucleotides) under uncultured bacterium. RNAcentral describes it as "partial 16S ribosomal RNA". It matches the Rfam family "Bacterial small subunit ribosomal RNA", at positions 29 to 507 of the family's 1533-position model. The record is from RNAcentral.